AUCCACUGAGAUGUUGGGGCUCAGACAUCCUAAGCAAGAGAAAGUGGGCACUCACACCAUCGAGGAGGAAGUGGGCAUUCCUGAGCUGGAAGGCCCAUGGGCCCACUGGGUUCAAGAAGUAUUCAAAGUAGUGAGAAGA
This is an unclassified non-coding RNA of Cavia aperea (Brazilian guinea pig), 139 nucleotides long. Lineage: Eukaryota; Metazoa; Chordata; Mammalia; Rodentia; Caviidae. The record is from Ensembl.